This 361-nucleotide ribosomal RNA is filed under the name uncultured bacterium. RNAcentral's name for it is "bacterial SSU rRNA". It matches the Rfam family "Bacterial small subunit ribosomal RNA", at positions 441 to 793 of the family's 1533-position model. The record is from RNAcentral.
AGGAAGGUAGUGUAGUUAACACCUGCAUUAUUUGACGUUACCUACAGAAGAAGCACCGGCUAACUCCGUGCCAGCAGCCGCGGUAAUACGGAGGGUGCGAGCGUUAAUCGGAAUUACUGGGCGUAAAGCGCAUGCAGGCGGCCUGUUAAGUCAGAUGUGAAAGACCCGGGGCGUUAACCUCGGAAUUGCAUUUGAAACUGGCAGGCUAGAGUCUUGUAGAGGGGGGUAGGAAUUUCAGGUGUAGCGGUGAAAUGCGUAGAGAUCUGAAGGAAUACCAGUGGCGAAGGCGGCCCCCUGGACAAAGACUGACGCUCAGAUGCGAAAGCGUGGGGACGCAAACAGGAUUAGAUACCCCUGGUAG